Molecule: ribosomal RNA, 336 nt
Filed under: uncultured prokaryote
Description: partial 16S ribosomal RNA
Rfam family: Bacterial small subunit ribosomal RNA
Source: RNAcentral
AGAUUGAACGCUAGCGGCGAUGCCUAACACAUGCAAGUCGAACGGGGUGGUGCCGGGUAGUAAUACCUUGUACAUCUAGUGGCGAACGGGUGCGUAACACGUGAGUAACCUACCCCGAAGUCUGGAAUAACACCGGGAAACCGAUGCUAAUACCGAAUACCCCCACCGGGUCACAUGGCCUGAUGAGGAAAUGGGUUUCUGCUUCGGGAGGGGCUCGCGGCCUAUCAGCUUGUUGGCAGGGUAAUGGCCUACCAAGGCAGUGAUCGGUAUCCGGCCUGAGAGGGCGCACGGACACACUGGAACUGAAACACGGUCCAGACUCCUACGGGAGGCAGC